RNAcentral lists this transfer RNA (72 nucleotides) under Marmota monax (woodchuck). RNAcentral describes it as "tRNA.Ala". The record is from RNAcentral. Lineage: Eukaryota; Metazoa; Chordata; Mammalia; Rodentia; Sciuridae.
GGGGUUGUGGCUCAAGUGGUAGAGCGCUCGCCUAGCACACAUGAGGCACUGAGUUCAAUCCUCAGCACCACA